CAGAGGCACCAUCUCUUCUCCCAUUUCUUCGUCCAGACCUGCAUCAACUCACAACAGCUUUCCUUCUGAUUGGCCGGUGUCUCCGGACUCUGUGACGUCCCACCAUAACCGAUGACACUUGUGUUCAUCAACUGACCGCGGAUUCGAGGAUUUUACAGAGAUGGCAUGGGGUAUAUCUCUCAGGUGCCUUGAGGUGGAUGCUGAAUGACAUUCUAUGCCCAGAGCGAUUCACCAUGGCGGAGCUCAAGUCCUAGUGCAAGGUCGAUGCCAAAGAUUGAAGCCCGGACGUCAAUCGUAAUGCCAGAUUGAAGCCCAAAGGCCUACCAGAGGUUCAGAGUGAAGCCUGAAAGUCAAUUGGAAGUCCAGAAGUUGAGGCCAGAUGGUUGGACCCCCCCCAAGUCUGUGAAUCUCUGUGAGUCCACUGAGGAAGUCUGCGAAUCCAUGAGUCUACUGGAGGUUGGAGGUUGGAGGUUGGAGCCCAGUGAUGGCCUGCCUUGGGAUGAGUGGACUCUGUACUGUAUAUGUGUUGGGAAGGAGGAACGGGGAUGGUUUUCUAUUGUUACUUUGUCGGUUGGCAUGUUCUAUUUGUUGUGUUCUGUGUUGAUCUGCCGAGCAUUGUGGACAUGCUAUGUAGGUGCUGGAGUGUGAGGCAACA
This is a long non-coding RNA of Mobula hypostoma (lesser devil ray), 655 nucleotides long. RefSeq lists it as uncharacterized. The transcript is spliced from 3 exons. The record is from RefSeq and is a predicted model, not a curated record. NCBI's taxonomy places the organism in Eukaryota, Metazoa, Chordata, Chondrichthyes, Myliobatiformes, Myliobatidae.